This 1608-nucleotide long non-coding RNA is filed under the name Toxoplasma gondii VEG. Lineage: Eukaryota; Apicomplexa; Conoidasida; Eucoccidiorida; Sarcocystidae. The record is from RNAcentral.
GUUUUCGCAGCCGUACGUCGGUUGGGGAGAUUUGUUCUGUGAUCGAGUUGAGCCUCAUGCGAGCGACUCCGCUACAACUUCACGCGCAGUAACUCGUAGUCAGUGGACCGCGUGAACGUGGAGAUCAGGGUACUCAGUGCGAUAUUACAGUACAGAAUUCAACCCUGCGGCUGAUUCAGGUUUUCGCUGAAACAGAGAGAAGAAGUCGUCAGUGAGUGGAUGGUCAUUUUAUGCGAGGCUUCAUGUUUAAUUUUAACCUUUUGCUUAAAAACCAAAACUUAUCGGUUUCCUCUUCAACAGGCAAAUUGUUAGGUUCAUAUACCCUUCUAUUGUUAGGAUUAAAAUUUCAGUCUCUUUUCACUCUCCUUCCGGGGUCUCUGCUCUGGGUCCGCUAAUAGAGCUUGCCGUCAGUUUUGUCUAUCCGUUAGGUACGAAAGCGUUCCAGUAGUCUCCGGACACGCAUCUUUGCUGAAUGUUGACAGCGGCAUCCUUGCUCUGUGUGUGUCUCCUGUCGCUUCAGUUUUGGACACAGAACGUACGUCGAAUUUUUAUUUGUCACCUCGCUGACCUUGCAAGGGCCGUUCCCCUCAGCGCUCCAGUGUCCAACAGUCUGCGUAGCUCAGUUUGCUGCGUCGAUGUGCCCAAGUGAAAAGCUGCUCCUGGUAUGCAUCAAUACGACAGACGCUGACGGGAGCCCUUCGCUUGAUGGAGCAGACGCGCCCUAUUGAAAUCCAGGUGUGCGAAUUCAGCAUAAAUAGUGUUUCACAGCCUGCCGGCUUGGUCUCAGUGUGGCGUUGCAUCACCGACCGCGAUAAAUGCUGAACAGUAAAGCCCGAGUGAUGCAGAAGGUCACAGCUUAUCAUCUGUCCGAAUGCUGCAUAUUGAACAGCUUAUUAGCAGUCUGCCCGCGCGCCUACCUGUAUCAAACGGUGAACGGACUGGCAACGUCACUUGCACGUUCUGAACUGUUGGCCCGGUCCGGUAGCCGUACAGUCGUUUCAUUGCUUCGCUGUAUCUGGUGCCGCCGCUCUUUUCAAGCGUGGCAGUGCAUGCCAGAAGAAACAGACAUUUCACGUUGGGGCUGUGGCUGCCUGAGCAGCCCUUUUGUCGUAUCAUUCAUUUCUCUGCAGCUCUCCUCCAUGUGGGAGGCGUGUUGUCUCAUCAAUUCCUUCUUUUGGUUUUAUCUGCACGCAAACCGUAAGUUCCUGUUUGCGAUAGCAGCCGCCACAGCUCUUGUCGUGAGUUCUGGCACAAGAGAGUGGAGCUACACAGUCGGUUCCGUCAGACUAUUUAGGGCCUCAUGCUCCUCUUCCUCCUGGCAGCGGAGUUAUCUGCCAGGUGUGGUCGAUCUGCGUCGGUCACCCAUAUCUGUUUAUGUACUCACCUGCUUUACACACGCUCAUGCAGGUUGCACAUCUACAGUCAGACUAGCAUAUUACUCGGCCUUCAACAAGAACUAUCUUGCUCAAUUUAGGCAGUGGAUUGUUGUCAUAGUCAAAUUUACAGUUGGGGAGAGCCGUCUGUCACUAACAGUGAUAAUCAAAGUCGGUGGGCAUGUGGUUCUCCUUCGUGUGUGUCUGCUGUGUCCUACAGAGAGUUGCCGCUGCU